RNAcentral lists this ribosomal RNA (485 nucleotides) under uncultured bacterium. Its description in RNAcentral is "bacterial SSU rRNA". It matches the Rfam family "Bacterial small subunit ribosomal RNA", at positions 28 to 507 of the family's 1533-position model. The record is from RNAcentral.
GACGAACGCUGGCGGCGUGGAUUAGGCAUGCAAGUCGAACGGUAUCAUCCUUUCGGGGGUGAGAGAGUGGCGAACUGGUGAGUAACACGUAGGUUAUCUACCCUCAAGACGGGGACAACCCAGGGAAACUUGGGCUAAUACCGGAUGUGAGCAACUUUUAGUUGUUUGAAAGGUGGCGUAAGCUGUCGCUUGGGGAUGAGCCUGCGUCCUAUUAGUUAGUUGGUGAGGUAACGGCUCACCUAGGCAAUGAUAGGUAGGCGGCCUUAACGGGUGGUCGCCCACACUGGGAUUGAGAUACGGCCCAGACUCCUACGGGAGGCAGCAGUCGAGAAUAGUCUACAAUGGUCGGAAGACUGAUAGUGCGACGCCGCGUGAACGAUGAAUCCCUUCGGGGUGUAAAGUUCUUUUGUACGGAACGAAACGGUCUGCCCUAAUACGGUGGGCUAAUGACGGUACCGUAAGAAUAAGCACCGGCUAACUACGUG